This 509-nucleotide ribosomal RNA is filed under the name Priestia megaterium. Its description in RNAcentral is "bacterial SSU rRNA". It matches the Rfam family "Bacterial small subunit ribosomal RNA", at positions 554 to 1060 of the family's 1533-position model. Lineage: Bacteria; Bacillati; Bacillota; Bacilli; Caryophanales; Bacillaceae. The record is from RNAcentral.
UAGGGCGUAAGCGCGCGCAGGCGGUUUCUUAAGUCUGAUGUGAAAGCCCACGGCUCAACCGGGGAGGGGCAUUGGAAACUGGGGAACUUGAGUGCAGAAGAGAAAGGCGGAAUUCCACGUGUAGCGGUGAAAUGCGUAGAGAUGUGGAGGAACACCAGUGGCGAAGGCGGCUUUUUGGUCUGUAACUGACGCUGAGGCGCGAAAGCGUGGGGAGCAAACAGGAUUAGAUACCCUGGUAGUCCACGCCGUAAACGAUGACUGCUAAGUGUUAGAGGGUUUCCGCCCUUUAUGGCUGCACCUAACGCAUUAAGCACUCCGCCGGGGGAGUACGGUCGCAAGACUGAAACUCAAAGGAAUUGACGGGGGCCCGCACAAGCGGGGGACCAUGUGGUUUAAUUCAAACCACCGCGAAAAACCUUACCAGGUCUUGACAUCCUCUGACUUCUCUAAAGAUAAAUCGUGCCCCUUCGAGCUACAGAGCGAGAGGUGGUGGGUGGUUGUCGUCUCCU